GGACUAUCAUGUCGGUCGUGCCUAGGUACGUACUGGUAUUGUUGGUCUCUCCCUUCUGACGAACCAUGAUGUCGUUUACUUGGUGUUGUGGGGAAUCAGGACUGUUACUUUGAAAAAAUUAGAGUGUUUAAAGCAGGCUCACGCUUGAAUACAUUAGCAUGGAAUAAUGAAAUAGGACAUUUGAUGCUAUUUUGUUGGUUUCUAGGAUUGACGUA
This 215-nucleotide ribosomal RNA is filed under the name Campeiostachys nutans. Its description in RNAcentral is "Elymus nutans partial small subunit ribosomal RNA". The stretch from base 37 to 215 matches the Rfam family "Eukaryotic small subunit ribosomal RNA", at positions 684 to 864 of the family's 1831-position model. The record is from RNAcentral. Lineage: Eukaryota; Viridiplantae; Streptophyta; Magnoliopsida; Poales; Poaceae.